Molecule: long non-coding RNA, 431 nt
Filed under: Brassica napus (rape)
Lineage: Eukaryota; Viridiplantae; Streptophyta; Magnoliopsida; Brassicales; Brassicaceae
Description: long non-coding RNA (BNAP_LNC024364)
Source: RNAcentral
CACUCCCAAAACCUUUCCCUCCUUUUAAGCUUUCAUUGUUUGAUGAGUGAGGCUUUCUUCGGAAAGUCUUACAUGUGCAUAAUUUUGAGAGUAUCGGGAACGACAAUGCUUGAUCUUCAUUCUUGCUAGAUUGGGCACUCUAUUGUCUAGCUAUAGGUGGGGGUGAGAGUUGUGAUUAUGAUUUGGGAGCAAUGAAAAAGGAAAAGAAAUAACUCUUUGUGUUUAAGUGAAUUGUCUUACUGGGAUAAGUUGAAAAACCUCUAGCUCAAGUUAUGAAAAGUCUUGGCCCCCAUUUGAAAAAAAAAAAUAAAAUAAAAUAAAAUAAAAUAUGAAAAGAAAAGAAAAAGAAAGAAAAAGGGGGCUAGCAAGGUUGUUAGGAGCUAAAUAAUGUUUUGAGGUUGUGAAAAAUCCCUUGUAGAUUUCAAAGAGAA